This is a long non-coding RNA of Apodemus sylvaticus (European woodmouse), 470 nucleotides long. RefSeq lists it as uncharacterized. The record is from RefSeq and is a predicted model, not a curated record. NCBI's taxonomy places the organism in Eukaryota, Metazoa, Chordata, Mammalia, Rodentia, Muridae. The transcript has 3 exons.
UUCACAAAGCUUAUGCAACCAGCUCCAGGAGACCUUACCAUACAGAAGAAUUAAGAAAGUGAUCAGGCCAUCAAGUAUCUUCACUGACAAAAUCAAGACUUCAAGGGAAAAAUGUGGAGCUACACUCCACAAAAGAAAACCAAGACCAUUGUUUUCAGCCUUCUUGGGAGCCUGAGAGGAUUUGACCAGUCGAGGAAUGAUUGAAAUCAAUCAGUGGAAAACAGUCUAGAUUGAAGCAUCUACACUUUGGUCUUCCUUCUUCUUAAGCUCCAUAUGGUAUGUAGAUUAUAUAUGGGUACUCUGAGAUUUUGGGCUAAUAUCCACUUAUCAGUGAGUACACACCAUGUGUGUUUGUUCUGGGUUACUCCACUGACUCAGGAUCAUAUUUUCUAGUUCCCUCCAUUCGCCUGUGAAUUUCACGAAGUCAUUGUUUUUAAUAGUUCAGUACUACUCAAUUGUGUAAAUGUAUC